GACGAACGCUGGCGGCGCGCUUAACACAUGCAAGUCGAGCGAGAACCAUGGCUUCGGCCAUGGGGACAGCGGCGAACGGGUGAGUAACACGUGGGCAAUCUGCCCUCGGCACUGGGAUAGCCCGGGGAAACCCGGAUUAAUACCGGAUAGCCUCUCGAGCUCACGGGCUCGUGAGAAAAGAUGGCUUCGGCCUUCGGCUGAGGAGGAGCCUGCGGCGGAUUAGCNGUUGGCGGGGUAACGGCCCACCAAGGCGACGAUCUGUAGCUGGUCUGAGAGGACGAUCAGCCACACUGGGACUGAGACACGGCCCAGACUCCUACGGGAGGCAGCAGUGGGAAUCUUGCGCAAUGGGCGAAAGCCUGACGCAGCGACGCCGCGUGA
Molecule: ribosomal RNA, 381 nt
Filed under: uncultured bacterium
Lineage: Bacteria
Description: bacterial SSU rRNA
Rfam family: Bacterial small subunit ribosomal RNA
Source: RNAcentral